UGGCGAACGGGUGAGUAACACGUGGGUUAUCUGCCUUGCACUUCGGGAUAAGCUUGGGAAACUGGGUCUAAUACCGGAUAGGACAGCUGUUUAGUGUCAGUUGUGGAAAGUUUUUUCGGUGCAAGAUGAGCUCGCGGCCUAUCAGCUUGUUGGUGGGGUAAUGGCCUACCAAGGCGUCGACGGGUAGCCGGCCUGAGAUGGUGUACGGCCACAUUGGGACUGAGAUACGGCCCAG
This 235-nucleotide ribosomal RNA is filed under the name uncultured Actinomycetales bacterium. RNAcentral's name for it is "partial 16S ribosomal RNA". It matches the Rfam family "Bacterial small subunit ribosomal RNA", at positions 96 to 334 of the family's 1533-position model. Lineage: Bacteria; Bacillati; Actinomycetota; Actinomycetes; Actinomycetales. The record is from RNAcentral.